GAAAGCUACGGCGGCCUAAUACAUGCAAGUCGAACGGUGUCUUCGGACAUAGUGGCGCACGGGUGCGUAACACGUAUGCAACCUACCUUACAUUGGGGGAUAGCCUUUCGAAAGGGAGAUUAAUACCGCAUAAGACAGUAGCUGGGCAUCCAGCAGCUGUUAAAGAUUUAUCGAUGUAAGAUGGGCAUGCGUCCAAUUAGUUAGUUGGCGAGGUAAUGGCUCACCAAGACUUUGAUUGGUAGGGGAACUGAGAGGUCAAUCCCCCACACUGGCACUGAGAUACGGGCCAGACUCCUACGGGAGGCAGCAGUAGGGAAUAUUGGGCAAUGGACGCAAGUCUGACCCAGCCAUGCCGCGUGCAGGAUGAAGGCGUUAUGCGUUGUAAACUGCUUUUAUACAGGAAGAAACGACUCUUGCGAGAGGCAUUGACGGUACUGUAUGAAUAAGCACCGGCUAACUCCGUGCCAGCAGCCGCGGUAAUACGGAGGGUGCAAGCGUUGUCCGGAUUUAUUGGGUU
This 517-nucleotide ribosomal RNA is filed under the name uncultured Sphingobacteriales bacterium. RNAcentral's name for it is "bacterial SSU rRNA". It matches the Rfam family "Bacterial small subunit ribosomal RNA", at positions 31 to 560 of the family's 1533-position model. Lineage: Bacteria; Pseudomonadati; Bacteroidota; Sphingobacteriia; Sphingobacteriales. The record is from RNAcentral.